This 2906-nucleotide ribosomal RNA is filed under the name Salmonella enterica subsp. enterica serovar Weltevreden. RNAcentral describes it as "bacterial LSU rRNA". It matches the Rfam family "Bacterial large subunit ribosomal RNA". The record is from RNAcentral. Lineage: Bacteria; Pseudomonadati; Pseudomonadota; Gammaproteobacteria; Enterobacterales; Enterobacteriaceae.
UUAAGCGACUAAGCGUACACGGUGGAUGCCCUGGCAGUCAGAGGCGAUGAAGGGCGUGCUAAUCUGCGAUAAGCGCCGGUAAGGUGAUAUGAACCGUUAUAACCGGCGAUACCCGAAUGGGGAAACCCAGUGUGACUCGUCACACUAUCAUUAACUGAAUCCAUAGGUUAAUGAGGCGAACCGGGGGAACUGAAACAUCUAAGUACCCCGAGGAAAAGAAAUCAACCGAGAUUCCCCCAGUAGCGGCGAGCGAACGGGGAGGAGCCCAGAGCCUGAAUCAGCAUGUGUGUUAGUGGAAGCGUCUGGAAAGGCGCGCGAUACAGGGUGACAGCCCCGUACACAAAAGCGCAUGUGCUGUGAGCUCGAUGAGUAGGGCGGGACACGUGGUAUCCUGUCUGAAUAUGGGGGGACCAUCCUCCAAGGCUAAAUACUCCUGACUGACCGAUAGUGAACCAGUACCGUGAGGGAAAGGCGAAAAGAACCCCGGCGAGGGGAGUGAAAAAGAACCUGAAACCGUGUACGUACAAGCAGUGGGAGCACAGGUUUACCUGUGUGACUGCGUACCUUUUGUAUAAUGGGUCAGCGACUUAUAUUCUGUAGCAAGGUUAACCGCAUAGGGGAGCCGGAGGGAAACCGAGUCUUAACCGGGCGUUAAGUUGCAGGGUAUAGACCCGAAACCCGGUGAUCUAGCCAUGGGCAGGUUGAAGGUUGGGUAACACUAACUGGAGGACCGAACCGACUAAUGUUGAAAAAUUAGCGGAUGACCUGUGGCUGGGGGUGAAAGGCCAAUCAAACCGGGAGAUAGCUGGUUCUCCCCGAAAGCUAUUUAGGUAGCGCCUCGUGAAUUCAUCUCCGGGGGUAGAGCACUGUUUCGGCUAGGGGGCCAUCCCGGCUUACCAACCCGAUGCAAACUGCGAAUACCGGAGAAUGUUAUCACGGGAGACACACGGCGGGUGCUAACGUCCGUCGUGAAGAGGGAAACAACCCAGACCGCCAGCUAAGGUCCCAAAGUCAUGGUUAAGUGGGAAACGAUGUGGGAAGGCCCAGACAGCCAGGAUGUUGGCUUAGAAGCAGCCAUCAUUUAAAGAAAGCGUAAUAGCUCACUGGUCGAGUCGGCCUGCGCGGAAGAUGUAACGGGGCUAAACCAUGCACCGAAGCUGCGGCAGCGACGCUUAUGCGUUGUUGGGUAGGGGAGCGUUCUGUAAGCCUGUGAAGGUGGCCUGUGAGGGUUGCUGGAGGUAUCAGAAGUGCGAAUGCUGACAUAAGUAACGAUAAAGCGGGUGAAAAGCCCGCUCGCCGGAAGACCAAGGGUUCCUGUCCAACGUUAAUCGGGGCAGGGUGAGUCGACCCCUAAGGCGAGGCCGAAAGGCGUAGUCGAUGGGAAACGGGUUAAUAUUCCCGUACUUGGUGUUACUGCGAAGGGGGGACGGAGAAGGCUAUGUUGGCCGGGCGACGGUUGUCCCGGUUUAAGCGUGUAGGUGUGUGUUCCAGGUAAAUCCGGUUCACUUUAACACUGAGGCGUGAUGACGAGGCACUACGGUGCUGAAGCAACAAAUGCCCUGCUUCCAGGAAAAGCCUCUAAGCAUCAGGUAACAUCAAAUCGUACCCCAAACCGACACAGGUGGUCAGGUAGAGAAUACCAAGGCGCUUGAGAGAACUCGGGUGAAGGAACUAGGCAAAAUGGUGCCGUAACUUCGGGAGAAGGCACGCUGACANGUAGGUGAAGUGAUUUACUCAUGGAGCUGAAGUCAGUCGAAGAUACCAGCUGGCUGCAACUGUUUAUUAAAAACACAGCACUGUGCAAACACGAAAGUGGACGUAUACGGUGUGACGCCUGCCCGGUGCCGGAAGGUUAAUUGAUGGGGUCAGCGCAAGCGAAGCUCCUGAUCGAAGCCCCGGUAAACGGCGGCCGUAACUAUAACGGUCCUAAGGUAGCGAAAUUCCUUGUCGGGUAAGUUCCGACCUGCACGAAUGGCGUAAUGAUGGCCAGGCUGUCUCCACCCGAGACUCAGUGAAAUUGAACUCGCUGUGAAGAUGCAGUGUACCCGCGGCAAGACGGAAAGACCCCGUGAACCUUUACUAUAGCUUGACACUGAACAUUGAGCCUUGAUGUGUAGGAUAGGUGGGAGGCUUUGAAGUGUGGACGCCAGUCUGCAUGGAGCCGACCUUGAAAUACCACCCUUUAAUGUUUGAUGUUCUAACGUGGACCCGUGAUCCGGGUUGCGGACAGUGUCUGGUGGGUAGUUUGACUGGGGCGGUCUCCUCCUAAAGAGUAACGGAGGAGCACGAAGGUUGGCUAAUCCUGGUCGGACAUCAGGAGGUUAGUGCAAUGGCAUAAGCCAGCUUGACUGCGAGCGUGACGGCGCGAGCAGGUGCGAAAGCAGGUCAUAGUGAUCCGGUGGUUCUGAAUGGAAGGGCCAUCGCUCAACGGAUAAAAGGUACUCCGGGGAUAACAGGCUGAUACCGCCCAAGAGUUCAUAUCGACGGCGGUGUUUGGCACCUCGAUGUCGGCUCAUCACAUCCUGGGGCUGAAGUAGGUCCCAAGGGUAUGGCUGUUCGCCAUUUAAAGUGGUACGCGAGCUGGGUUUAGAACGUCGUGAGACAGUUCGGUCCCUAUCUGCCGUGGGCGCUGGAGAACUGAGGGGGGCUGCUCCUAGUACGAGAGGACCGGAGUGGACGCAUCACUGGUGUUCGGGUUGUCAUGCCAAUGGCACUGCCCGGUAGCUAAAUGCGGAAGAGAUAAGUGCUGAAAGCAUCUAAGCACGAAACUUGCCCCGAGAUGAGUUCUCCCUGAGACUUAGAGUCUCCUGAAGGAACGUUGAAGACGACGACGUUGAUAGGCCGGGUGUGUAAGCGCAGCGAUGCGUUGAGCUAACCGGUACUAAUGAACCGUGAGGCUUAACCUU